CAAUUGAUAUCUUAAAUUAAAGAAUUGAUCUUUUAAAUCAAAAAUAGUAUUUUAUAUACUUCAAUUGA
Molecule: transfer RNA, 68 nt
Filed under: Megaphragma amalphitanum
Lineage: Eukaryota; Metazoa; Arthropoda; Insecta; Hymenoptera; Trichogrammatidae
Description: tRNA-Lys
Source: RNAcentral